GGUGCAGGUGCCUUUUUAGAAGGCUUAAUAGGGAAGACCGGUGCAAUACCGGCGCGGUCCCGCCACUGUAACAGGAUUUCAGCCCCACUGCCGCAUGGCUUGUGAGCGCCGCUUUACGCAGCCUCCCGCCGCGGCCCGCCGUCACUGGUGUGAUAAAAACCGGGAAGACGGGGUUGAUGACGCCUGGAGCCAGGAGAACUGCCUGUGCCGA
RNAcentral lists this non-coding RNA (211 nucleotides) under uncultured Anaerosporomusa sp. Lineage: Bacteria; Bacillati; Bacillota; Negativicutes; Acetonemataceae. The record is from RNAcentral.